Molecule: ribosomal RNA, 315 nt
Filed under: uncultured Anaerolineaceae bacterium
Lineage: Bacteria; Bacillati; Chloroflexota; Anaerolineae; Anaerolineales; Anaerolineaceae
Description: bacterial SSU rRNA
Rfam family: Bacterial small subunit ribosomal RNA
Source: RNAcentral
UCGUCAGCUCGUGUCGUGAGAUGUUCGGUUAAGUCCGCUAACGAGCGCAACCUCGUCGUAUGUUAUAUGUGUCAUACGAGACUGCCGGUAAAAAGCCGGAGGAAGGUGAGGAUGAUGUCAAGUCAGCAUGACCUUUAUAUCCAGGGCUACACACACGCUACAAUGGUCUGUACAAUGGGUAGCCAAGCCGCGAGGCGGAGCCAAUCCUGAAAGCAGGCCUCAGUUCAGAUUGCAGUCUGCAACUCGACUGCAUGAAGCCGGAGUUGCUAGUAACCGCAGGUCAGCAAUACUGCGGUGAAUACGUUCCCGGGUCUU